AGCUCCAAUAGCGUAUAUUAAAGUUGUUGUGGUUAAAAAGCUCGUCGUUGGAUCUCAACGGCCUUGGAGCGGUUAUCAUGCUUGAUAGACUGCUCUGUAGGCCGUGCUUUUGCUGGAGGUUUAGGGGUGCUCUUAAUCGAGUGUCUCUGGAUGCCAGCAGGUUUACUUUGAAAAAAUUAGAGUGCUCAAAGCAGGCUGUAAUGCUUGAACGAUUGUGCAUGGGAUAAUGGAACAGGGCGUCUCCGCCCUUUCAUUGGGUUAAGUGGAGACGUAAUGAUAGAUAGGAACGGACGGCGUGAUUCGUACGAGAGGGUGAAAGGUGAAAUUUUUAGAUACUUCUCAGACGGACGGAUGCGAAGGCGUUUCACGAGAACGUUU
This 378-nucleotide ribosomal RNA is filed under the name uncultured eukaryote. RNAcentral describes it as "SSU rRNA". It matches the Rfam family "Eukaryotic small subunit ribosomal RNA", at positions 587 to 969 of the family's 1831-position model. The record is from RNAcentral.